GGGGGGAGUAUGGGGGGGGGGGGGGGCUGAGAAUUCACCUGGCCAAUGAGUUAAAAAUGAGAAAAGGAUUAGCAGUUACCAAAAUUUCUAAGUAGUUAAGUAUCUGCAUGGUGGGUUCAGUAUAAACAAACAUGGUACUCUCAAAUGACUGUUGAUGGGCUAUUACAUUAGCAUCCUGUGAACCCUGGUCAUAGCUGGAAAGGAGUCAAAAACCAGGUUCUUUGUGCAGAAGGAAUAUACCUUUUAAACACCCCCAAAGUAUAGAUUAAGCCGUGAUUGAUGAAAAGUCUCCAUUUUCUGAUGAUUUUAUGAAACCAAAGUAUAACUAAGAACCAACCAUCUGAGCGCCAGUAGAGAGUGGAAAAUAGGGAAAGGCAACAUCUCAGUAUGAUUUCUGGAGUGAGCAGUCGUUCUUACUGGCUAGGACCAUAAGCUUCAUUUGUUAAAAGUUCCCAGAAAUUAAGCCUGAAUGAGCUUAGAGCUUAGUAAGAGUUACUUCCAGAGAUGCUUCUUUCUUCCCUCAAGUAUACAGAUUAACUAUUUUUGUGCCGUGGGCCUUUUGACAGCCCCAAAAAGCCCGUGGAUCCCAUCUCAAUGUUUUACAUGUGUAUUACAUAAUGCUCACACAUUCUAAAUUUUAUCUACGGACUCCUAGUUAGAAAUCCCUUGUAAGGGGUGUUAGGGUUCUGAGAGAAGGCUGGUAAGUAAUGAGGCUGGUAACUUAUUUCAGCACCCUGUUCAGGACGGGAAUAUGUUGUGUUUCAGUUAUUCUAGUUUCCAGCUCAAUUGGUGUUGAAGAAACUAGCUCACUUAUAAGUGACUCGGAUGAAAACCCACGGGGAGGCAUGUUUCUUUAGUAAGAAACCCUGAGAGCCCCCUUUGAAGUCAAUCUGACUAAUUAAGAGAAAGGUUAUAUGUAUCCCAGUUUUGACCUUCUGUGAAUGUGAUAUAUUAUUGGCAUCUCGUUCUGCACAGUCCAAAUGAGGUAGACAAGAUAAUGAUUGGUAUAUAACCAUGGAUACCGAAGAUCCACUGCAAGGCCUGCCGAUCACUUUACACAGAAGGAACCCCCUCCCUGAGGUUUGCUUGCUCGGGGUGUGGUGGUACUUUGCCCUAGUAAACUACCAAGGAAGUCCGAACGUAAGCUCCUCCUCUGGAAGAGCGAGUUGUGGGCGGCUGCGCUGCGGGGGCAAACGCGCCGCAUGCCCGCUGGCCAGAGCGAGUCGGGGUCUGGCGUUAGGGCAUCCAGACUGGCCGGCAUGGUACAGGGCGUAUCCCUAGCCGCCUUCUGCGUCAUAUGGGGCGCCGCCCUCCAGCCUAGGAGAGAUGGCCGCUAGGAGGGACAGAGGGGCCUUAUCUGCCCGGGUCUUAAUACCCCGGGCGGGGUCGGAAAGCGGGUUACAGAAGAGCGCCCAGUAAACUGCAGGGGUGCGACUCGUCUCCAGGGACCGGAAACCCCCAGGGCCGAGCUAACCGGCAACAAACCAUAAUCCGAUCCUGUCUUCGGGAUCAGAAAGAGGACAGCUGGCCCCCGCGCAAGCUCAGUCCCUCCUCCGCAGCCUACAGGAGGAGCCUCAGAAACGCACUUCCGCCGCGCGGGCCUACCUCCACGCAGGGCGCUUCCUAGGCCAGCUCACUUCCGCCCAGCGCUUUCUGCGGAUAGGGGAGUCGGGGUUUUCUUUUGUCCUAUUCUUGCUCUUGCUCUUGACUCCCCUUUUCCGUUUAACCCUUUUCUCCUCUCUUGGCCUCCAAAAAAGCAGUCGGCUGCCACUCUCGACUUUUUUGUCUGGGACACCGUCAGCUCACACUCCAAGCCCAGCGCAGCGGCCAUCUUCGGGGAAAAAAAUGCAAACUUGUGACACCAUUUAUGAUCUGCUUGGUCUUGAGAUACUGAGUAAUAGAACUUUCUCCUUCCAGGCUGAAUUGUGAACUUCGGUUUGGUUUCUUUCUGCAAUCCCUGCAGGGCCAUAAAUUCUUGGCCCUUCAGACUGUUUCUUGUUGGCCUGUAACAGACUCAGCGAUACCAUCAGUAACCACAAUUCACAGUGGAGUCAAAUUAUCUUAUUCCCACACCAGUUGGAGAACUGGAGAUUCCUUAGAACUUUAACUGUCAUGUUUUCAAAGUUGACGUGGAAAUUUUUACAUGAAGCUUAAAAAUAAAACUAAUCUGUGGUGAUAGAGAUGAGAAGAGUUAAGCUCUAAAAUUAGAAGAGCAGUUCGUUUUGAGGCAGCAUUGAUUGGGAGGGAGCAUGGAGUAUAUAACUAUACAUUUCUAUAUAAUGUAAAAAUUUAUAGGUUUAAGAUUUAUGCAUUUUGUGUAAAUUAUACUACAAUAAAAUGAAAAUGAAAGAAGACAAAGAUCAUAUAUAGUUCAAAUAUUGUGUACAAAGUAGUUUCUGUUAAACAUUUUUAUGUGUAUAUGUACCUUUUACAUGUAUAUGUUAAGGAUAUGCAUUAAAAUGGUAAUAACUUCCUCUGCCUAUUGGGAUAAUGGAGAGUUUUGUUACUUUUUGUCUUUUUUUUAAAAAAAAAACAUGUUCUGCAAUGAUAAUGUAUUGCUUUUGUAAUUAUGAAAAACAAAAGUUAUUUUGUAAAUCCUUGUUACUGAUAAGAGAUGGGUAUUCUAUUAACUACUGAAUUCUCAUGUAGGAAAACAAAAUACGUAAUGUCUAUUUGAUAAAUCGAGAAACAGAAGCAUUACUUAGAAAUCUGAGUUACCUCUAAAAUAAUGACUGGCAUUUGAAGUUGAGGAUGGGUCUUGAGUUCCUUUGAUUUUAAGCUCUUGGAUAUGAGGGUUGGGUGAGUUCCUCUUUUUCUCUCUUUCAAAAUAUAUGUAUGUUUAACUUUGCUAAAUAAAAGUUAAAAGAUACAGUC
This is a non-coding RNA of Chlorocebus sabaeus (green monkey), 2874 nucleotides long. NCBI's taxonomy places the organism in Eukaryota, Metazoa, Chordata, Mammalia, Primates, Cercopithecidae. The record is from RefSeq and is a predicted model, not a curated record.